This 1581-nucleotide ribosomal RNA is filed under the name Gekko vittatus (white-lined gecko). RNAcentral's name for it is "16S rRNA". It matches the Rfam family "Bacterial large subunit ribosomal RNA", at positions 464 to 2925 of the family's 2925-position model. The record is from RNAcentral. Lineage: Eukaryota; Metazoa; Chordata; Lepidosauria; Squamata; Gekkonidae.
GCCAAACCACUCCGCCUGAACAAAACAUACAAUAAACUCAACAUAAACAAAUCAAACCAUUUGAUAAAAACAGUAUAUGAGAUAGAACUUUACCCUCAGCGCAAUAGUAAAUAGUACCAUAGGGGAAAAAUGAAAGAUCAUUAUAAAUUAAGCACAUAACAGCAGGAGUAAUAUCCCGUACCUCUAGCAUCAUGGUUUAGUCAGCACUCACAAGUAAAGCGCCCUAUAUCUGUCACCCCGAAACCAGACGAGCUACUUAAAAGCAGCAACAAGAGCAAACCCGUCCCUGUGACAAAAGGGUGGGAAGACUUUUAAGUAGCGGCGAAACACCAAUCGAGUCUGGUGAUAGCUGGUUACUCACUAAAUGAAUAUAAGUUCAAUUCUAAGACUACAUCAAUAAUUCCACAUAAUCCUAUACGUCAUUAGAAGAUAUACAAUAGGGGAACAGCUCUAUUGUAUUUGGCUACAACCAUAAUUAGAGAGCCUCUCACCAAAACCCUGUUAGUGGGCCUUAAAGCCGCCACCUUUAAAAAUUGCGCUACAGCAUAUAAACAAAAAUACCACAAACAAAUAUUCCCUCCUAUCGCCCCACUGAGCUACCCUAUAAUUAAAUAGAAGAACUACUGCUAAAACUAGUAAUACGACACUCCUCGCCCACGCACUCCUGUAAAUCGGAAUGGAAAGACCGCCGAUAGUUAACAGACUAAAAACAGUAAUAAAUACCACAAAAAAUAAAGCUAUUCUAAAUCCACUGUUAAUCCAACACAGGCGUGCAUACAGGCAAGAUUAAAACCCUUAAAAGGAACUCGGCUAACAUAGUCCCACCUGUUUACCAAAAACAUGGCCUUUAGCUAAUAACAAGUAUUAAAGGUCCAGCCUGCCCAGUGAAUUAUUUAUUUCAACGGCCGCGGUAUCCUAACCGUGCAAAGGUAGCGUAAUCACUUGUCCCUUAAUUAUGGACCAGUAUGAAUGGCUAAAUGAGGGCACCCCUGUCUCCUAAGGGUGUUCAAUGAAACUGAUAUUUCAGUACAAAAGCUGAAAUAUACCCAUAAGACGAGAAGACCCUGUGGAGCUUAAAAUUCCAAUAUUAAUGUAUUAUUAACCAACUCUCCCGAGAUGUUAUACAAUUCAACAAUAAUAUUUACUUUAGGUUGGGGCGACUGCGGAAUAAAAUAAAACUUCCAUGAUUUGGGCCUAAAAGCCUAUUAAGACUAACCAGUCAAAAUAAUAAUAACACUGAUCCAGUAACACUGAUUAACGGACCAAGUUACCCCAGGGAUAACAGCGCCAUCCCCCUCAAGAGUCCCUAUCGCCAGGGGGGUUUACGACCUCGAUGUUGGAUCAGGACAUCCCAGUGGUGCAGCCACUACUAACGGUUCGUUUGUUCAACGAUUAAUAGUCCUACGUGAUCUGAGUUCAGACCGGAGAAAUCCAGGUCGGUUUCUAUCUAUGUACUGGCCUCUUUAGUACGAAAGGACCAAUGAAGCCAACGCCAAUACCAAACCAGCACGCGUUAUCAUCCUCAUUGCAAACAAAUAAAAUUAAAACACAGAAAUACCUACCCUUAUAUAAAGGGUUAUU